Molecule: ribosomal RNA, 570 nt
Filed under: uncultured Glomus
Lineage: Eukaryota; Fungi; Glomeromycota; Glomeromycetes; Glomerales; Glomeraceae
Description: eukaryotic LSU rRNA
Rfam family: 5.8S ribosomal RNA (bases 165-318)
Source: RNAcentral
GGAAGUAAAAGUCGUAACAAGGUUUCCGUAGGUGAACCUGCGGAAGGAUCAUUACUGAUUUGGCGGACCGAGCGUCAGCGAGGUUUCGCGAUCGCCUGUAUUUAAAACCCACACUUUUGAAUUAUGUAUAUUUUUGUAUUUUUUAAAUGAUAAAAAAAAAAGAUCACUUUCAACAACGGAUCUCUUGGCUCUCGCAUCGAUGAAAAACGUAGCGAAGUGCGAUAAGUAAUGUGAAUUGCAAAAUUCCGUGAAUCAUCGAAUCUUUGAACGCAAAUUGCACUCUCUGGUAUUCCGGAAAGUAUGCCUGUUUGAGGGUCAGUUAAAUAAAAAUCGGUGUUGUUACUGCCUUUCGUAGUGACACGUCGGAAUUGAGUUGUCUUUACCUUCGGUUAAGUGACUUAAAAUUUUGCAUGAUUUUCGAACGUAUUUAAAUUGCUUACGUACGUUUGAGAUAUCGAAUAUUUUAUUAGGUUCGGUCAUCCUCAUGACUCGCGCCUAUAAUUUUUCAUUAAAUGACCUCAAAUCAGGUAAGAAUACCCGCUGAACUUAAGCAUAUCAAUAAGCGGAGGA